GGUUGUCUACCAUCUUCAGGCUACAAAUGAUAACAAAAAAUUAAAUAACAGAACAGAACAUCGAACAUUCAUGAAGAUCAUUGGUUAUCACAGAAACAAACAAACUAACUAAAUGAGAAACUAAAAAAAAAUAAUUAAAAAAUAAAAAUAAACUAAGAAUCCCUAGUAUGUUAAAAAAGGCAUUUAAAGGAGUGUCUGAUAAACAAGGGAUUAGUAGUUGCCUCUUCCAGUUGGUCAUGGGAUCUGGUUUUUCUGCUGUUCAUAAGGUGUUGGUUCAGCACAGUGAGGUCCAGCCUCUUCAUGAUUCCCUUCUCUGCUUAGAGAGGCCUCUAGAAGAUAUCUCCAUGCCAAGGGUAGUUGAAUUCCUGGUCAGUCAUUUAGGAGUCAUCUGCAUCUUGCCGUUUUAAAAUCUCCAAGGUUUCAGUUAUUAAUGCGUGUGAGUUAACAAUAACAGGUUUUAUGAUCUCAGCUUGGUUUCAGUGUUUAUUAAGUGUUGUAUCAUAUGUCUGUACAGCAAGGGCUGUUGUCAGUUUGGCCUUACAAGUUAAAUAUAUCAUUUCUGUGCUCCUAUAGACAUUGGGCUAGAGGUCUAUUGGUUAUGCCAAAGUAAGCGGCUUGUUCCUGCAUCACCUGAUCUGUAACUGGUAUUUUAUACACAUCUGAUUUCUCAUACUCCUUUAGACAUGAAUAAUAAAAAUAAAACUGUUGUGAUAAUUGAUAUAUACCAUACAAGCUUACUGAUGAUAAUUUGGUUAAGUGUUAUAAUAAAGUAGAAAAAUAUAAAAAUUUAGUUAAUACAAUUAAAAUUAAAUUUGAUAUUCAAAAUUUUGAAGUGCAUGGCCUUGCUGUUGGGACUAGAGGAGGAUGGUGUCCCAGAGAGAGUGACUUCAGUAAGAAAUGGAAGAUCAGUUAUAAGAACAAAAGAGAAUUGUGAUAUUGCUCAGAAUAGAAUGACAAAUAUGAAAAUUUUUAUAUAUAGUCUUAAAUUCGCGUGGAAAGUCUUUAUAAAUUAGUG
RNAcentral lists this long non-coding RNA (1015 nucleotides) under Androctonus crassicauda. Lineage: Eukaryota; Metazoa; Arthropoda; Arachnida; Scorpiones; Buthidae. The record is from RNAcentral.